GGCAGUGCGGGUCUUACCAUGCAGUCGACGAUGAAGCCCAGCUUGCUGGGUGGAUUAGUGGCGAACGGGUGAGUAACACGUGAGCAACCUGCCCCUGACUCUGGGAUAAGCGCUGGAAACGGCGUCUAAUACUGGAUACGAACCAUGAAGGCAUCUUCAGUGGUUGGAAAGAUUUAUUGGUUGGGGAUGGGCUCGCGGCCUAUCAGCUUGUUGGUGAGGUAAUGGCUCACCAAGGCGUCGACGGGUAGCCGGCCUGAGAGGGUGACCGGCCACACUGGGACUGAGACACGGCCCAGACUCCUACGGGAGGCAGCAGUGGGGAAUAUUGCACAAUGGGCGCAAGCCUGAUGCAGCAACGCCGCGUGAGGGAUGACGGCCUUCGGGUUGUAAACCUCUUUUAGCAGGGAAGAAGCGAAAGUGACGGUACCUGCAGAAAAAGCACGGGCUAAAUACGUGCCAGCAGCCGCGGUAAUACGUGGGGGGGCAAGCAUUAUCCGGAUUUAUUGGUUGUAGAAA
RNAcentral lists this ribosomal RNA (516 nucleotides) under Microbacterium sp. RNAcentral's name for it is "bacterial SSU rRNA". It matches the Rfam family "Bacterial small subunit ribosomal RNA", at positions 38 to 566 of the family's 1533-position model. The record is from RNAcentral. Lineage: Bacteria; Bacillati; Actinomycetota; Actinomycetes; Micrococcales; Microbacteriaceae.